AUGCUGGGGUCUGUCACCCUCCUUCUCGCCACCCUGCUCCCUGCUGGACAGACGGCGCUCACCCUUCACCAGCCAGUGGUCUCCAUCACCAGACAGACCAGGAAGAUCGCCAAGAUCCCCUGCGAGUUUUCUGACAGUAGCAUCAAGUACAUCCAUUGGUAUCGCCAGGAGCCUGGGAAAGCUCCCCAGCGCCUGCUCUACUAUAACCUCGCCUCGUCUCAAUCCACACAUGAUGCAGGAUUCAGUUCGGACAAAUUCUAUGCUUACAAGAGCAAAGAUCAAAGCUGUACCCUGGAGGUCCAGAAACUGGGCACGAGUGAUGCUGGCAUCUAUUACUGUGCCAGCUGGGACUCCACAGUGACACAGGUCCCUUUGCUCUCUGUACAAAAAAAGUCAGUCUGCAGUUACCGGGAGCAAGGUCUGCCCCCAACAGUUCCAGCCAUGACUCUCAUCCCCUACUUCAGUCUUCUUGGAAAAUUUUGA
This is a non-coding RNA of Ornithorhynchus anatinus (platypus), 483 nucleotides long. The record is from the annotation of a RefSeq genome assembly. NCBI's taxonomy places the organism in Eukaryota, Metazoa, Chordata, Mammalia, Monotremata, Ornithorhynchidae.